GCAACGGGUAGCCGGCCUGAGAGGGUGACCGGCCACACUGGGACUGAGAACGGCCCAGACUCCUACGGGAGGCAGCAGUGGGGAAUAUUGCACAAUGGGCGAAGCCUGAUGCAGCGACGCCGCGUGAGGGAUGACGGCCUUCGGGUUGUAAACCUCUUUCAGUAGGGAAGAAGCGAAAGUGACGGUACCUGCAGAAGAAGCACCGGCUAACUACGUGCCAGCAGCCGCCGGUAAUACA
Molecule: ribosomal RNA, 238 nt
Filed under: uncultured bacterium
Lineage: Bacteria
Description: partial 16S ribosomal RNA
Rfam family: Bacterial small subunit ribosomal RNA
Source: RNAcentral